UGGGGAAUCUUCCGCAAUGGACGAAAGUCUGACGGAGCAACGCCGCGUGAGUGAUGACGGUCUUCGGAUUGUAAAGCUCUGUUAAUCGGGACGAAUGGUUUGUGUGCAAAUAGUGCAUAGACAUGACGGUACCGGAAUAGAAAGCCACGGCUAACUACGUGCCAGCAGCCGCGGUAAUACGUAGGUGGCAAGCGUUGUCCGGCAUUAUUGGGCGUAAAGCGCGCGCAGGCGGACUAGCCAGUCAGUCUUAAAAGUUCGGGGCUUAACCCCGUGAUGGGAUUGAAACUACUAGUCUAGAGUAUCGGAGAGGAAAGUGGAAUUCCUAGUGUAGCGGUGAAAUGCGUCGAUAUUAGGAAGAACACCAGUGGCGAAGGCGACUUUCUGGACGAACACUGACGCUGAGGCGCGAAAGCCAGGGGAGCGAACGGG
RNAcentral lists this ribosomal RNA (429 nucleotides) under Verrucomicrobiota bacterium. Its description in RNAcentral is "Verrucomicrobia bacterium partial 16S ribosomal RNA". It matches the Rfam family "Bacterial small subunit ribosomal RNA", at positions 355 to 776 of the family's 1533-position model. The record is from RNAcentral. Lineage: Bacteria; Pseudomonadati; Verrucomicrobiota.